AAUGCACCAGGACUUGAUGGAAAUGUGAGAUUUACUAUGGCCCAGACAGCAGCUGUACGCAAUCGGCUGUCAUUACUCUGCAAGAACUUGAUUAUGAAAGAUUGGGUCUCAUUGUCCACUUGUGAAAGAAGUUGUUGCAUAACCGCUUCCUUAUGAAACUCAUUUCCACUAGCCAAAUUACAUAGCACAUACAUUCCCUGUAUGCCAACUUCAGCUUUUGAAGUAUUCUCUAAUUGCUUUCUAACAGCAUCUAAUAUAAUACCACUUUCAGUAAAGACAAACUCAACCGAGCUUAUAGAUCCUUCAAUAAGAUUCCGAACAA
RNAcentral lists this unclassified non-coding RNA (322 nucleotides) under Hevea brasiliensis (rubber tree). Lineage: Eukaryota; Viridiplantae; Streptophyta; Magnoliopsida; Malpighiales; Euphorbiaceae. The record is from RNAcentral.